This 1645-nucleotide long non-coding RNA is filed under the name Homo sapiens (human). Its description in RNAcentral is "non-protein coding lnc-SPINK5-3:2". The record is from RNAcentral. Lineage: Eukaryota; Metazoa; Chordata; Mammalia; Primates; Hominidae.
CUCUCUCUGGACUCCUUGGCUCAGAGCAGCAUAUCUCCAUCAUUGGCAUUCACCAUCACUAUGAAGGGCUUCACUGCUUUUGCCAUCCUUGGUCUAGCAGUCACUGCUUGGGCUACCUCGCCAUAUGGCAAGUCAGGGUUUCUUUCCAAUAGUCACGCGUUUAUGUUAACUGUAAUAUAUUCAGCCUUCAUUAAAUUAUAAAUGUUAAUGUCUAAAGAAAAUUUAGAAGGCAUCUGUUUGAAUUGGCCUGAUUAACAAAAGUGAGUUGAGUCAGAUCUUUAGUGUGAGGAAGAGAGACUGAGGAGAGGGAUAAAAGGAUUGUGGCUGUAUGUUCCAUUCCUGAGCAGGAUCCCUCAGGUUUAUGACUUGCCCUUUCAGAAACAACCUAUAAAGCUUUGGGACCAUAACCCAUGCCAUCCUACUCAGAGGAUGCCCACAGGAACUCCUGGACAUCUGUGACAGUCCUUUCUCAAUAAACAGAGCUUUCCCCACUGGAUUUUUUUUUUUUUUUAAAUCAGAGCCACAUGCAUGUCUAUCUUCAUCCUGAGUUUGGACUUGCAUGAAGAAAUGGCCUCUUUUAGGGCUGGGCUGGGCAAGGACUAUUGCUGGGAAAUGGGUUUUGGUUACCAUGAACAAUGGGGAUUUAGCUUUGCACUUCUAACUGUGCAAUUUGUUCUUUCUCCAACUGCUCCUCUUCAACUGAUUCUUGCUUCGCUCUCUUCUGGUGAUCAAACAAAAGGGACAAAGAGAUCAAGAAUUUCAACUCAGAAAACUUCAUGAAGGUAAAUGUAUUCAGUGUACCAGGUAUUCUGAGGCAUGUACCAUGGACUACACACUUCACUGUGGAUCUGAUGGAAAUGUAUAUUCCAACAGAUGUACCUUUUGCAAUACCGUUGUGAAGAGCCAAGGUGCAAUUUGGUUGAAAAAUUAUGGAUUGUGCUGAAUCUCCCUGAUGCUUAAGGAUAUCAAGUCUCCUUUGGCAGAUUCCACUUAGAUAACCAGUUUGUCUUGGACGGCUGAGGAGGCAAGCAAUAAUCUGGUACAAACAUGGAUUUGAGUCUUCAACAAAGUAUUCUCAGCAAGGAACUGACUAUCAGUCCUAUCUGUGGAUGUGAUUCUUCUCUUAAGGAGAAUAUCUAUGGUCAUUUUCCUAAGCUAAAAAUCAUAUAGAAAGAUUUUCUCUAUUUCUAUACAAAUUGGGAACUAGAUAUUAUACACACAAUGGUGAGAAGAGAAUAUGCUUAUAUCAUGUUUAAAAGACUCAAUUGUUUUAAGUAAACAUGAGUCAGAGGAUGGAUCUGUCCAUUGGUCUCAUAUUAUCUUUGGCACACUAAUGAAGUGAAAAAUUUAGAUUUGGAGAAAGUGAGAAUCCAAAAUACUAUACACUAAUCAGAACAGACCAGUCAUAACGUAUAUUUUAGGUGUCAUCAUUUAAAGAGGACUCAGUCACGUAUGGGCACAUGCAAAAAAGGCAUUAUGUUGAAGGGAGAGAGACAUUAAAAACAAGAUCUGAUUGAUUAAAUGUUGAAGUCACUAAAAGGCCUCAGGAAAAUAUGAUGGAGGUGGGAAUGAUGAGGGUAUAUUCAAAACCAUCCUGAGAGAGAAACUCCAGAAUUUUCUCAUCUAGCAUGCCAUAGAAAGCACC